AAAAAGGAAAAAUUGGAGUGCGCUGCAAGAGUUUGACCAGUUGGGGAAGGAACUAGAAGAUGGUGGAGUGUUUCAGGGUUGGCAAGAGGGAGAUAUAGAAUUCGCUCCCACAUACAAAUAUUCUUCUUCCAAUUGCAAUCGAUAUUCUGGUGGACUUCCAAGCAGAGCAGGGGAGAAGCAAAGAACUCCAGCAUGGUGUGAUAGAAUCCUAUGGUAUGGAAAGGGAGUGAAACAGCUUUCCUAUUUCCGCAGUGAAAGCAAGUUCUCAGACCAUCGGCCCGUAUCUGCUUUAUUCUCUGUACUAGUUAAAGAUCAAAAGUGUGCCCAUUCAAGUUUGGUUCCGUUUCCUCCUUUCAGUCCCCUCCGAAAUUCCUAGUAAAGAUCUAUAAGGCAAGAGUAAUAUAAAAGCUA
RNAcentral lists this unclassified non-coding RNA (411 nucleotides) under Hevea brasiliensis (rubber tree). Lineage: Eukaryota; Viridiplantae; Streptophyta; Magnoliopsida; Malpighiales; Euphorbiaceae. The record is from RNAcentral.